UCAGCCUCAGUAAAGUGGGCAAGUUGAAGUA
This 31-nucleotide non-coding RNA is filed under the name Mus musculus (house mouse). The record is from RNAcentral. RNAcentral also lists the same sequence under 1 other name. Lineage: Eukaryota; Metazoa; Chordata; Mammalia; Rodentia; Muridae.